This 301-nucleotide ribosomal RNA is filed under the name uncultured bacterium. Its description in RNAcentral is "partial 16S ribosomal RNA". It matches the Rfam family "Bacterial small subunit ribosomal RNA", at positions 509 to 807 of the family's 1533-position model. The record is from RNAcentral.
CAGUCGCCGCGGUAAUACGGAGGGGGCUAGCGUUGUUCGGAAUUACCGGGCGUAAAGCGCACGUAGGCGGCUUGGUAAGUUAGAGGUGAAAGCCUGGAGCUCAACUCCAGAAUUGCCUUUAAGACUGCCGAGCUAGCAGGUGAGAGAGGUAAGUGGAAUUCCGAGUGUAGAGGUGAAAUUCGUAGAUAUUCGGAAGAACACCAGUGGCGAAGGCGGCUUACUGGCUCAUACUGGACGCUGAGGUGCGAAAGCGUGGGGAGCAAACAGGAUUAGAGACCCCCGUAGUCCCUGUCUCUUAUAC